This 497-nucleotide ribosomal RNA is filed under the name uncultured bacterium. RNAcentral's name for it is "partial 16S ribosomal RNA". It matches the Rfam family "Bacterial small subunit ribosomal RNA", at positions 28 to 507 of the family's 1533-position model. The record is from RNAcentral.
GAUGAACGCUGGCGGCGUGCCUAAUACAUGCAAGUCGAGCGAACAGACGAGGAGCUUGCUCCUCUGACGUUAGCGGCGGACGGGUGAGUAACACGUGGAUAACCUACCUAUAAGACUGGGAUAACUUCGGGAAACCGGAGCUAAUACCGGAUAAUAUAUUGAACCGCAUGGUUCAAUAGUGAAAGACGGUUUUGCUGUCACUUAUAGAUGGAUCCGCGCCGCAUUAGCUAGUUGGUAAGGUAACGGCUUACCAAGGCGACGAUGCGUAGCCGACCUGUGAGGGUGAUCGGCCACACUGGAACUUGGACACGGUCCAGACUCCUACGGGAGGCAGCAGUAGGGAAUCUUCCGCAAUGGGCGAAAGCCUGACGGAGCAACGCCGCGUGAGUGAUGAAGGUCUUCGGAUCGUAAAACUCUGUUAUUAGGGAAGAACAAAUGUGUAAGUAACUAUGCACGUCUUGACGGUACCUAAUCAGAAAGCCACGGCUAACUACGUG